Molecule: non-coding RNA, 72 nt
Organism: Dama dama (fallow deer)
Lineage: Eukaryota; Metazoa; Chordata; Mammalia; Artiodactyla; Cervidae
Source: the annotation of a RefSeq genome assembly
GGCUUGUUGGUCUAGUGGUAUGACACUUGCUUUGGGUGUAAGAGGUCCUGGGUUCGAAUCCCAGACAAGCCA